Molecule: ribosomal RNA, 515 nt
Filed under: uncultured bacterium
Lineage: Bacteria
Description: bacterial SSU rRNA
Rfam family: Bacterial small subunit ribosomal RNA
Source: RNAcentral
CAGCAGUGGGGAAUUUUGGACAAUGGGCGCAAGCCUGAUCCAGCCAUGCCGCGUGCAGGAUGAAGGCCUUCGGGUUGUAAACUGCUUUUGUACGGAACGAAAAGACUCCUUCUAAUAAAGGGGGUCCAUGACGGUACUGUAAGAAUAAGCACCGGCUAACUACGUGCCAGCAGCCGCGGUAAUACGUAGGGUGCGAGCGUUAAUCGGAAUUACUGGGCGUAAAGCGUGCGCAGGCGGUUAUAUAAGACAGAUGUGAAAUCCCCGGGCUCAACCUGGGAACUGCAUUUGUGACUGUAUAGCUAGAGUACGGUAGAGGGGGAUGGAAUUCCGCGUGUAGCAGUGAAAUGCGUAGAUAUGCGGAGGAACACCGAUGGCGAAGGCAAUCCCCUGGACCUGUACUGACGCUCAUGCACGAAAGCGUGGGGAGCAAACAGGAUUAGAUACCCUGGUAGUCCACGCCCUAAACGAUGUCAACUGGUUGUUGGGUCUUCACUGACUCAGUAACGAAGCUAACG